AUUGAACGCUGGCGGAAUGCUUUACACAUGCAAGUCGAACGGCAGCACGGACUUCGGUCUGGUGGCGAGUGGCGAACGGGUGAGUAAUACAUCGGAACGUGCCCAGUCGUGGGGGAUAACGUAGCGAAAGCUACGCUAAUACCGCAUACGAUCUACGGAUGAAAGCGGGGGAUCGCAAGACCUCGCGCGAUUGGAGCGGCCGAUGGCAGAUUAGGUAGUUGGUAGGGUAAAGGCCUACCAAGCCGACGAUCUGUAGCUGGUCUGAGAGGAUGAUCAGCCACACUGGGACUGAGACACGGCCCAGACUCCUACGGGAGGCAGCAGUGGGGAAUUUUGGACAAUGGACGCAAGUCUGAUUCAGCCAUUCCGCGUGCAGGAUGAAGGCCCUCGGGUUGUAAACUGCUUUUGUACAGAACGAAAAGGCUCUGGUUAAUACCUGGGGCUCAUGACGGUACUGUAAGAAUAAGCACCGGCUAACUACGUGCCAGCCGCCGCUGUAA
RNAcentral lists this ribosomal RNA (500 nucleotides) under uncultured bacterium. RNAcentral describes it as "partial 16S ribosomal RNA". It matches the Rfam family "Bacterial small subunit ribosomal RNA", at positions 30 to 523 of the family's 1533-position model. The record is from RNAcentral.